AAAAGUCCAUAUAUGAUAUAUGGCUGUGAAUUCUUAUGGUGAAUUCUGGUUUGAAGCGCUAUUAUCUAGUAUUGACUAGCUUACAAUCGCCAUCUACGAUGUUUUACCUUCAAACGAAUUUGCAUGCGAGUUAUUGGCUUAAGUGAUUUUGAAGGUAUCAACAACUGUACACUAAAACACAAAUGACAUGUGCUAGUGCAGCGUACUCGGGUGCAAUUACUCGCACACACAGUAUUUAAGUUGUCAUCGGAGCCAGAGUUACCAUUAAAUAGGUAUAAUGCAGUUGGGAAAACGCAUUUCAGAUAAUUGUUCAGUCGAACUGGGCUUGGUAAUUACCUGGCUCGUUAGGGUUUUUUUCCCUUUGUUGUCAUCGUAGUAAUUUGUAUAUGUUCUGAGCGACCGCACGGAAUCCCUAAUAAGUAUAACCUGGGCUAGAGUUUUAUACGUACACAUGUAAGUGCGUAAGCUGUGCCGUUGUUAUCGGAGCUCGAAUACCGGAAAGUCAAAUAUACAUAUAAUAUAUUUCAAAAACGUUCAUCUCUCGUACUCUGUAAUAUAAUACAAGUUUCAAUUUAUGCCAUCGCGGUAAGAAACUGAGGGGCCGAGACUCCAGCAAAGGCGGUACUCCUUAAGGUGCUCUGAAGCAAUACGAGCCCAAAGAUUCUAUAAGGGUGGUGGUAAGGGAAGGUGCAAUCACCAAGUACAAUACACAAUCGAGAUCCAGCAUAAAAAGUUGCGAAUAUAAAACAAAAGUGUCACUCGCCGUGGGUCUGGAGGUACCAGACGAUGUCCGAGGCUGAGCUUGCAUUGUUAUUCCCCUUUGUCGCUGUCUGUGCUUGUGUUGAUUUGUUUUUAGAAGUAUUUAUGCAUGUAUGUGAAUAAAUGUAUGUAUAUGUGGCCAUUUGA
This is a long non-coding RNA of Drosophila simulans, 906 nucleotides long. RefSeq lists it as uncharacterized. The transcript is spliced from 2 exons. Lineage: Eukaryota; Metazoa; Arthropoda; Insecta; Diptera; Drosophilidae. The record is from RefSeq and is a predicted model, not a curated record.